CGAGCUCCCCCACGCGGCCACGCCACAGCCGCCGACCUCGGCUAUGGCAACGAUGGCGAGAAGGUGCUAGCCCGCCCCGCCUCCCACCUCCGUCUCCAUCUCUACCUCUCUGCCUCCCGUGAUCACCACCAUUGCCGUGUAUCCUAGCCAUAAUCCAUGCCUCCAAACCUCACAUCGUUGCUGGAUUUCUGGAUGAGGGCGAGUUCGAGCUAAUCCCCGUCCCAGAAUUCCAAAUUUCGACGCCGCAGACGCGGCCCAGGCAGCGCCGCCCCCCGCCAAAGAUCCCGUUCGACCUCCUUCGCCCGUUCUCCAUCGAGAUCGUCUGGGUCAGCUUCAUUGAGGUGGCACGGCAGCGAGGGCUUCAAGUCGACCACACUUUGGAUCGGCGGAUAAUGCCAAUGAUGGUGACUAAAUCGGCGAGCAGAUUCGUGCUCUCCGGCCAUCUUAUUUUCCCUAUUCAUCUGCUCUAGGUCUGCAGGUUAGUCCCGACGAGAAGCUCGAGUUCAUUAGCCGGCCGACAUCAAGGCGGAGGCAGAAACUCGAGGAGGCAAAGCUUUCAAUUUGUGCUCACGGCCGCGCUUGCCCCCGCGCCGCGCUCGCCCCAGCUUCCCCCAAUUUGUGCUCACGACCGUACCCCAUCUCCGCUGCCCCCAAUUUGGGCUCACAGCCACCGUAAGCAUAUUCUUUUCAGGGGAGUCAUCGGGCUCACCUGCUACGAGUCAAGGUGCCGGCAGGGAUGGCAGGCUCUAGCGCGGCUACGACAUCUCCGUGGAGUGCUCGCUGCAGCAGUCGGGGCCCAUGUCCGCCCAGCAAGUUCUUCGCUAAGGAAUCGAGGGGCUCUCCUCCGGCGAGUCAAGUUGCCGGACGGACGCCCUCCCGAGGCUCCAGCACGCCCCGUUGCCGACUGCUCCACCGGUAUCCACAUGACAACUAGAAGGACAUUCCAACGUUUGUAUCCGAGGAUCUGCUGGUCUGCUUUUUGGUUGAAGAGAACAAAGAUGGAACGGGUAACACAACAUACACACACCAAACUGAAUAUUAUUUUGUCAGUGUUGCCAUGUGCGAAUUUAUACUUGCGAGCUUAACAACUUAGAAAAUGUUUUGUUUUUGUCACAGUGAGGGUUUCCCUCUUAAGCAAAAAAAUGAUGUAGAAAAACAUCGGUGGCUUCAAAAUUUGAAUUGGUGUGCGUAUGCUACAAAAUCAAUCUGUACACCUAUGAACACUAUUCAUUUUUCGCAAGUGGUUCUUAAUCUUAGCAGGUUCGUUUGGGAGCUGUCCUCCUUUCAGUUUGAAUAAACUAAUGACACUUUUGUUAUUUCGCCACUUCUUCGCCAUGAAGCUAAUGUUUUCAGGUUUUCCGUUCAGCUAGGAGUGUGGGGUUUCCAUUGUCUUGCACAAUCUAUGUCGUGAUCGUCAAAAUCAAACGUUGCUACCUCGAAUAUGUUGUUCGGCAUGUCUAGAGUUCUGACAAUUUCAAGUACAUGUGUCUGUUUUUUAUUCUUUUUUGCAUUUGCCUUGGAGGAUAGAGCAUUCGUCCUCAUUUCUCCACUAUUUUAUUUGAGAGAACAUUUUCAUGAGAGGUCAUUAUUAGCAAGCUAAGGCAGGAUGAGCUUUUGUCAACCGUAGGUAGAUUGAAAAGGUUAUAAGGAGGCAGGGAGGUUACCAAAGAUAGACAGCGGUGCGCCCUAUAUAGGAAUAUAGGAUGAUGAGACUCCCAGGCGGACAAGGAGCACAAGCACCUCAAAAGGUAGAAUUCGAUUUGAAUUUUUGAAAGAGCUCCGCGUCUUAGUCCUAAGAGUGGAAUUUAACCUGCUAAUUUCUCAUAGUGCAAAAAUUAGUUUGAGUUUCUGUAGGAAACGCAGUACCUUUUAGUCUCAAAGUUGACAUUUAAUUUGCCCACUAUAGGACAUAAUUAAUAUUUCUGAUGUUUGCAUAAUAUUGUAUAUGUGUCUUGAUAUUUUAGCUUUGUAAUGAUCAGCUUCACAAAUCAUUAAACUGUUUUUACCUUGCACCUGGUUCUUGGAUUUUCUUUUAUUUUGACUCAAUGGGUGUUAUGUCAUCUACUGUUUCUUACUUUGACUGUCCUUCGCGUUCAACUACAAAAACGAUUUGAAGCUGGAAAUUUGACCAAGACUUGAUAUAGACCCUCAUUCAAGUGAAGUUAUUUUUAUACAGCUAAGGUACAUUCUCUUCUAUUUGUCAGCAAGUGAAGCUAUUUUUAUACAGCUAAGGUACAUGCUCUUCUAUUUGUCAGGAGAAAAUCUGGGACUAUAACUCCUGUGCAUGCUCUGACAUGGUCUAACUGUUCAGAUAAUUUGUUAAAUUGUUUCACUACGUGUGCACAAUUUUGAUUAUUUAUCUUGAGCUCUUAUUAUUUCCUCACGGAUAUAUUUCCAUUUGCAUUGCAACCACUAAUAUUGUCUCACGGGAGCGUACAGGCUAGGGUCUGCUUUUGUUUACUACCACAGUAAUCCAUGUUACCAUGUAUGUUCAAUGUAGUAAACUUCUGAAGCUGAUCUACCAUUUGAUCACACCUUGGGUGCGUAUUGCAUAUUAUUAUCGUCCUGUUUAGAAGCACAUGAGAAAAAAAUGUUGUAUGUUAUUACUCACUUUUGUUUAGCUUCUAACAUCCUACCAGCGAUAUUAUGCAAGGAGAAUAACAACUAGGUGUUCUCCAUACACCCUUGUGCACUCAGAUUUCUCAGCCGAGAGCUAAAACCAUGCCUAGGCAUCAGCGCGAAAUCGCCUUUCGUUUAUCAGUGUAACGAUCCAUGCUACUGCCCAAGUUCUAUAUAUGUAAUGGUUCCUGUAACUACAAAUUGUUCACCCAUUACAGGAUGAUGAUCAAUGUGGAGUACCAGUUAUUGUUACUAGACUUAAUUUGUGUGUAUUUCUGAUACCAUACAAAUUGAUCGUCCAUUACAGUAUGAUGAUCAAUAUGCAGUACCAACUAUUGUUACUAGACUUAA
This is a long non-coding RNA of Lolium perenne, 2970 nucleotides long. RefSeq lists it as uncharacterized. Lineage: Eukaryota; Viridiplantae; Streptophyta; Magnoliopsida; Poales; Poaceae. The record is from RefSeq and is a predicted model, not a curated record.